Molecule: non-coding RNA, 24 nt
Filed under: Cricetulus griseus (Chinese hamster)
Lineage: Eukaryota; Metazoa; Chordata; Mammalia; Rodentia; Cricetidae
Source: RNAcentral
CAGACUGUAACUGCCAGAGCAGCG